RNAcentral lists this ribosomal RNA (492 nucleotides) under uncultured bacterium. Its description in RNAcentral is "partial 16S ribosomal RNA". It matches the Rfam family "Bacterial small subunit ribosomal RNA", at positions 28 to 507 of the family's 1533-position model. The record is from RNAcentral.
GAUGAACGCUAGCUACAGGCUUAACACAUGCAAGUCGAGGGGAAACGACAUCGAAAGCUUGCUUUUGAUGGGCGUCGACCGGCGCACGGGUGAGUAACGCGUAUCCAACCUGCCCAUCACUUGGGAAUAACCUUGCGAAAGUAAGACUAAUACCCAAUGACAUCCCACGAAGACAUCUGAAUGGGAUUAAAGAUUUAUCGGUGAUGGAUGGGGAUGCGUCUGAUUAGCUUGUUGGCGGGGUAACGGCCCACCAAGGCAACGAUCAGUAGGGGUUCUGAGAGGAAGGUCCCCCACAUUGGAACUGAGACACGGUCCAAACUCCUACGGGAGGCAGCAGUGCGGAAUAUUGGUCAAUGGGCGAGAGCCUGAACCAGCCAAGUAGCGUGCAGGAUGACGGCCCUAUGGGUUGUAAACUGCUUUUAUAAGGGAAUAAAGUGGGUCUCGUGAGACUUUUUGCAUGUACCUUAUGAAUAAGGACCGGCUAAUUCCGUG